GAGUUUGAUCCUGGCUCAGAACGAACGCUGGCGGCAGGCCUAACACAUGCAAGUCGAGCGCACCCUUCGGGGCGAGCGGCGGACGGGUUAGUAACGCGUGGGAACGUACCCAGAUCUAAGGAAUAGCCUCGGGAAACUGAGAGUAAUACCUUAUACGCCCUUCGGGGGAAAGAUUUAUCGGAUUUGGAUCGGCCCGCGUUAGAUUAGAUAGUUGGUGGGGUAAUGGCCUACCAAGUCUACGAUCUAUAGCUGGUUUUAGAGGAUGAUCAGCAACACUGGGACUGAGACACGGCCCAGACUCCUACGGGAGGCAGCAGUGGGGAAUCUUAGACAAUGGGCGCAAGCCUGAUCUAGCCAUGCCGCGUGUGUGAUGAAGGCCCUAGGGUCGUAAAGCACUUUCGCCAGGGAUGAUAAUGACAGUACCUGGUAAAGAAACCCCGGCUAACUCCGUGCCAGCAGCCGCGGUAAUACGGAGGGGGUUAGCGUUGUUCGGAAUUACUGGGCGUAAAGCGUACGUAGGCGGAUUAGUCAGUCAGAGGUGAAAUCCCAGGGCUCAACCCUGGAACUGCCUUUGAUACUGCUAGUCUUGAGUUCGAGAGAGGUGAGUGGAAUUCCAAGUGUAGAGGUGAAAU
This 632-nucleotide ribosomal RNA is filed under the name uncultured bacterium. RNAcentral describes it as "bacterial SSU rRNA". It matches the Rfam family "Bacterial small subunit ribosomal RNA", at positions 9 to 687 of the family's 1533-position model. The record is from RNAcentral.